RNAcentral lists this ribosomal RNA (1503 nucleotides) under uncultured Bordetella sp. RNAcentral describes it as "partial 16S-23S ribosomal RNA intergenic spacer". It matches the Rfam family "Bacterial small subunit ribosomal RNA". The record is from RNAcentral. Lineage: Bacteria; Pseudomonadati; Pseudomonadota; Betaproteobacteria; Burkholderiales; Alcaligenaceae.
GGUUCGAUCAUGGCCUCGAUUGAACGCUGGCGGGAUGCUUUACACAUGCAAGUCGAACGGCAGCACGGACUUCGGUCUGGUGGCGAGUGGCGAACGGGUGAGUAAUGUAUCGGAACGUGCCUAGUAGCGGGGGAUAACUACGAAGAAAGCGUAGCUAAUACCGCAUGUACGCCCUUCGGGGGAAAGCGGGGACCUUCGGGCCUCCUGCACUAUUAGAGCGGCCGAUAUCGGAUUAGCUUGCUGGUGGGGUAACGGCUCACCAAGGCGACGAUCCGUAGCUGGUUUGAGAUUUGACCAGCCACACUGGGACUGAGACACGGCCCAGACUCCUACGGAGGCAGUGGGGAAUUUGGACAAUGGGGGAAACUCCUGAUCCAGCCAUCCUGGCGUGUGCGAUGAAGGCCCCCGGGUUGUAAAGCACUUUUGGCAGGAAAGAAACGGCACGGGAUAAUACCCCGUGCAACUGACGGUACCUGCAGAAUAAGCACCGGAUAACUACGCCAGCAGCCGCGGUAAUACGUAGGGUGUUGCUAAUCGGAAUUACCGGGCGCAAAGCGUGCGCAGGCGGUUCGGAAAGAAAGAUGUGAAAUCCCAGAGCUUAACUUUUGGAACUGCAUUUUUACUAACUACCGAGCUAGGAGCGUGUCAGAGGGAGGUGGAAUCUGUGCGUGAAAUGCGUAGAUAUGCGGAGGAACACCGAUGGCGAAGGCAGCCUCCUGGGAUAACACUGACGCUCAUGCACGAAAAAGCGUGGGGAGCGAAACAGGAUUAGAUGAUCCGUAGUCCACGCCCUAAACGAUGUCAACUAGCUGUUGGGCCUUCGGGCCUUGGUAGCGCAGCUAACGCGUGAAGUUGACCGCCUGGGGAGUACGGUCGCAAGAUUAAAAACCCAAAAGGAAUUGAUUUCGGGACCCGCACAAGCGGUGGAUGAUGUGGAUUAAUUCGAUGCAACGCGUGAAAACCUUACCUACCCUUGACAUGUCUGGAAUCCCGAAGAGAUUUGGGAGUGCUCGCAAGAGAACCGGAACACAGGUGCUGCAUGGCUGUCGUCAGCUCGUGUCGAGAUGCCGGUUAUGUCCCCGCACGAGCGCAACCCUUGUCAUUAGUUGCUACGAAAGGGCAAUUUCAUCGAGAUCGCCGGUGACAAACUGGAGGAAGGUGGAUGACGUCAAGUCCUCAUGGCCCCGGCGGGCAGGCCACACGUCAUACAAUGGUCGGGACAGAGGGUCGCCAACCCGCGAGGGGGAGCCAAUCCCAGAAACCCGAUCGUAGUCCGAUCGUGUCUGCAACUCGAUCAUAAGAAGUCGGAAUCGCUAGUAAUCGCGGAUCUGUGGCGUCAACGCGGUGAAUACGUUCCCGGGUCUUGUACACACCGCCCGUCACACCAAGGGAGUGGGUUUUACCAGAAGUAGUUAGCCUAACCGUAAGGAGGGCGAUUACCACGGUAGGAUUCAUGACUGGGAAGUCGUAACAAGGUAGCCUUCAAAGAUACCUGAUGCCUUG